UACGUAGGGUCCGAGCGUUGUCCGGAAUUACUGGGCGUAAAGAGCUCGUAGGUGGUUUGUCGCGUUGUUCGUGAAAACUCACAGCUCAACUGUGGGCGUGCGGGCGAUACGGGCAGACUGGAGUACUGCAGGGGAGACUGGAAUUCCUGGUGUAGCGGUGGAAUGCGCAGAUAUCAGGAGGAACACCGGUGGCGAAGGCGGGUCUCUGGGCUGAUACUGACGCUCAUGCACGAAAGCGUG
Molecule: ribosomal RNA, 240 nt
Filed under: uncultured bacterium
Lineage: Bacteria
Description: partial 16S ribosomal RNA
Rfam family: Bacterial small subunit ribosomal RNA
Source: RNAcentral